UUAUUUUGAGAGUUUGAUCCUGGCUCAGAAUCAACGCUGGCGGCGUGCCUAACACAUGCAAGUCGAGCGAGAAAAGGGGAGCAAUCCCCUGAGUACAGCGGCGCACGGGUGAGUAACACGUGGGUAAUCUGCCCUGGAGUGGGGAAUAACACCGGGAAACCGGUGCUAAUACCGCAUACGAUCGCGAUGUCUGCGGACGUUGUGAUGAAAGGAGCAAUUCGCUCUAGGAGGAGCCCGCGGCUGAUUAGCUAGUUGGUGAGGUAAUGGCUCACCAAGGCAACGAUCAGUAUCCGGUCUGAGAGGACGGUCGGACACACUGGAACUGAGACACGGUCCAGACUCCUACGGGAGGCAGCAGUGGGGAAUUUUUGGCAAUGGGGGAAACCCUGACCAAGCAACGCCGCGUGGGUGAUGAAGUCCCUUGGGACGUAAAACCCUUUCGACGGGGAAGAAGCCGCAAGGUUGACGGUACCCGUAGAAGAAGCCCCGGCUAACUCCGUGCCAGCAGCCGCGGUAAUACGGGGGGGGCGAGCGUUGUUCGGAAUUACUGGGCGUAAAGGGUGCGUAGGCGGUUCGCUAAGUCGGAUGUGAAAACUCUGGGCUCAACCCAGAGCCUGCAUCCGAAACUGGCGGACUAGAGUUCUGGAGGGGGUAGCGGAAUUCCUGGUGUAGCGG
Molecule: ribosomal RNA, 675 nt
Filed under: Acidobacteriota bacterium
Lineage: Bacteria; Pseudomonadati; Acidobacteriota
Description: bacterial SSU rRNA
Rfam family: Bacterial small subunit ribosomal RNA
Source: RNAcentral